CCUACGGGAGGCUGCAGUCGAGAAUCAUUCACAAUGGGGGAAACCCUGAUGGUGCGACGCCGCGUGGGGGAAUGAAGGUCUUCGGAUUGUACACCCCUGUCAUGUGGGAGCAAAUUAAAAAGAUAGUACCACAAGAGGAAGAGACGGCUAACUCUGUGCCAGCAGCCGCGGUAAUACAGAGGUCUCAAGCGUUGGUCGGAAUCACUGGGCGUAAAGCGUGCGUAGGCUGUUUCGUAAGUCGUGUGUGAAAGGCGCGGGCUCAACCCGCGGACGGCACAUGAUACUGCGAGACUAGAGUAAUGGAGGGGGAACCGGAAUUCUCGGUGUAGCAGUGAAAUGCGUAGAUAUCGAGAGGAACACUCGUGGCGAAGGCGGGUUCCUGGACAUUAACUGACGCUGAGGCAUGAAGGCCAGGGGAGCGAAAGGGAUUAGAUACCCCAGUAGUC
RNAcentral lists this ribosomal RNA (446 nucleotides) under uncultured bacterium. RNAcentral describes it as "partial 16S ribosomal RNA". It matches the Rfam family "Bacterial small subunit ribosomal RNA", at positions 338 to 795 of the family's 1533-position model. The record is from RNAcentral.